UACGUAGGGGGCAAGCGUUGUCCGGAAUCAUUGGGCGUAAAGAGCGUGUAGGCGGCCAGAUAAGUCCGCUGUGAAAUCUCGAGGCUCAACUUCGAGCUGUCGGUGGAAACUGUCUGGCUAGAGUCCGGAAGAGGAGAAUGGAAUUCCUGGUUUAGCGGUGAAAUGCGCAGAUAUCAGGAAGAACACCCGUGGCGAAGGCGGCUCUCUGGGACGGUACUGACGCUGAGACGCGAAAGCGUGGGGAGCGAACAGG
RNAcentral lists this ribosomal RNA (253 nucleotides) under uncultured bacterium. RNAcentral's name for it is "partial 16S ribosomal RNA". It matches the Rfam family "Bacterial small subunit ribosomal RNA", at positions 524 to 776 of the family's 1533-position model. The record is from RNAcentral.